UACGUAGGGGGCAAACGUUGCUCGGAAUUACUGGGCGUAAAGGGAGUGUAGGCGGCUGGGCAAGUCAGAGAUGAAAUCCCGAGGCUUAACUUCGGAACUGUCUUUGAAACUGCCUAGCUUGAGGAUAGUUGAUGAAAAGGGAAUUCCCGGUGGAGCGGUGAAAUGCGUAGAUAUCGGGAGGAACACCUGAGGCGAAGGCGCUUUUCAAAACUACUCCUGACGCUGAGACUCGAAAGCUAGGGGAGCAAACGGG
Molecule: ribosomal RNA, 253 nt
Filed under: uncultured bacterium
Lineage: Bacteria
Description: partial 16S ribosomal RNA
Rfam family: Bacterial small subunit ribosomal RNA
Source: RNAcentral